AUAAUAUAAUAUUUCUUAUCUUCUUCGUAGAAUUAAAAUCAAUAUCAAAUCGAAGAGAAAUUAAUUACGUGAUCAAUUUGAGUUGCAUAUCUAUUGCAGAUGUCCCACUAGCAUUCUCGAUUGAAGGAUAUAUGGUUGUCUAGUUAUUGAGAUGGUUCCAAGUGCUCAAACGUUUGUGCACAGUAGCAGGAGGUGAAGAUGUGGCCUAGCUGUGAGCUCGUGGUCCAAGGUUCAUUCCGGAACCAGUGGUACAUGGACACCAUGGGUCCCCUACAGUGUCUGUUGCUAGUUCCAGUUCCUAUCAUCGAGAGUGAUCCGAGUCUACUUGAUCGAGAUUCCAGGGUGAGCUUUGGCUAAAUCUGCAACCCGAAAACUCUUCCUUUGCAUUUGGCUGUCUACUUUGUAUUCUUGAGACAAUAUUGAUAUUUUUUAGAAUUCUAUUUUCUUAUCAGACUUGUAUCUUCUUGGUAGUAGCUCUUGUACUAGUCCAGACCAGAUUUUGGGGUUGUUGUUACUUCCACACUUAUUAUCAAUGUGAUUUGAA
Long non-coding RNA from Lycium barbarum (goji berry), 544 nucleotides. RefSeq lists it as uncharacterized. The transcript has 3 exons. Lineage: Eukaryota; Viridiplantae; Streptophyta; Magnoliopsida; Solanales; Solanaceae. The record is from RefSeq and is a predicted model, not a curated record.